Long non-coding RNA from Uranotaenia lowii, 420 nucleotides. RefSeq lists it as uncharacterized. The record is from RefSeq and is a predicted model, not a curated record. The transcript is spliced from 3 exons. NCBI's taxonomy places the organism in Eukaryota, Metazoa, Arthropoda, Insecta, Diptera, Culicidae.
UUCAAAAACGAUAAGUGAAAAAAUGGAAAAAAGAUGAAAAAAAAGGAGUUUUAUCGAACCAUACAAUGGAAACCAAAUCGUCGGAGUGCACCUGGCCUUGGUCCAGGCCUGUUUAUUGAUUAAAAUAAUGAUCCGAAACCGAUAUAAACUAGAAUGGCAUGUCCAUCGGCCAGCAGCUAUCAAGAUGCCACGGCCAACCAGAGAAAUUAUCGUUGUACCUCCAUGACAACCUGGCUCUAGCCGCUCUAAAAUUUUGACGUCAGUUUUCAUUGAAGAUCGCUGGACGAUUUCAACGAAAACAUCGCUUGGUCCCUAUCGAAGUGGUUUAUGGAGGUGCCGUACAUAUUGGAGGUCCUGCUGCUUUGAAAGUGGCAACAAAUCGGAACCAAUUCCGAAAUAAAAUGAAUUUUAAAAAUAAUA